RNAcentral lists this ribosomal RNA (492 nucleotides) under uncultured bacterium. RNAcentral describes it as "partial 16S ribosomal RNA". It matches the Rfam family "Bacterial small subunit ribosomal RNA", at positions 29 to 507 of the family's 1533-position model. The record is from RNAcentral.
AGUGAACGCCGGCGGUAGGCCUAACACAUGCAAGUCGAACGGCAGCACAGUAAGAGCUUGCUCUUACGGGUGGCGAGUGGCGGACGGGUGAGGAAUACAUCGGAAUCUACUUUUUCGUGGGGGAUAACGUAGGGAAACUUACGCUAAUACCGCAUACGACCUACGGGUGAAAGCAGGGGAUCUUCGGACCUUGCGCGAUUGAAUGAGCCGAUGUCGGAUUAGCUAGUUGGCGGGGUAAAGGCCCACCAAGGCGACGAUCCGUAGCUGGUCUGAGAGGAUGAUCAGCCACACUGGAACUGAGACACGGUCCAGACUCCUACGGGAGGCAGCAGUGGGGAAUAUUGGACAAUGGGCGCAAGCCUGAUCCAGCCAUACCGCGUGGGUGAAGAAGGCCUUCGGGUUGUAAAGCCCUUUUGUUGGGAAAGAAAAGCAGCAGGUUAAUACCCCGCUGUUCUGACGGUACCCAAAGAAUAAGCGCCGGCUAACUUCGUG